CAAACGUAGUCGAAAUAAUGAAGCUGCAAAACGGUCGCGUCAGCGCAAGCGCAUGGAGGAAUAUUUCUUGGAAACACGCGCCGUUGAACUUCUUCGGGAAAAUGAAAAGCUGAAGGCUGCGCUUUCUGCAGUUCAUUAUCAUGGCCUCGGUGUAAAAUAUCCUCUUGGUACUAUAGUGGAAUAUCCCAUAGCGCAAGAACUGCCAAGAGAUGCUUAUCUGCGUUCUUUGGUAGAGUUCUCUGGCCCUGCGGCGCUGACCCCAUUGGCAGAAACCAACUGUUUGUCUUAUGCUCUCUCUGGCCGAUGCAGAUCAGACAAUAUAAUGCAUCGUUUCAGUUCAGCCUACGAUUCUGUUUCCUUCGCGGGGAUGACCACUGCUCCAAUCAUGCCGAAAGUCGCUCUCAGGGGAGACGUCCGUGAAAGAGGCUGGAAUGUCGGCAGUCACUCGGGAAUCCAAGCGUGCAACGAUGGAUGUAGUCCCGCAAAUGUACUUAUACCCGUUGCCUAUGAAGUGUCCCAGAGGAAAGGAGUGCAUAGCAAUGUCCUCUCCACGAUGGACUCAUCCCAGGACAGUUUUUCGGGUGGUUUUUCAUUAGGUGGGACUAUACCGAAUUACUCACAGCUAACUGCCUCAGCGCCUGGCCGUGUUACGCGUAUUGUGAUGGAUAAACCUUUCACCGAAGAUAGUGCUCCAAUCAUUGCAGAGGCCAAAGGCAUUCGUAAAGAACUUAAAACCAUUAAACAAACAGAACGUGUGUCUAUGAGCCCACGUCUGCCACACAAAUUGCGCUACAAAGUUAAUAAAGCGACACAUGGAGAGAAUGAAUUGUAGAUCACAUGGUCUCCUCGUCCUGGCAAUUCUAACCAUGAUGUCUGAGAAUAAAGUAAAUUGCAUUGUUCCAGGCAAAAUGUACGCAAUAUUGACGGUAGUCAAUAGACGUUGAGCUAUCUAUUUCAAUUGUCUAAUCUAUAGGGUAAUUUAUCGGUGAAGAUAGAGUUAGGAAACGUGUUAUUUUU
Electrophorus electricus (electric eel) is the source of this 1017-nucleotide long non-coding RNA. Lineage: Eukaryota; Metazoa; Chordata; Actinopteri; Gymnotiformes; Gymnotidae. The record is from Ensembl.